AUAAGCGGAGGAAAAGAAACCAACAGGGAUUACCUCAGUAACGGCGAGUGAAGCGGUAACAGCUCAAAUUUGAAAGCUAGCUCUUUGAGGGUUCGCAUUGUAAUUUGUAGAAGAUGCUUCGGGUGUGGCCCCGGUCUAAGUUCCUUGGAACAGGACGUCAUAGAGGGUGAGAAUCCCGUAUGUGACUGGGUGCUUUCGCUCAUGUGAAGCUCUUUCGACGAGUCGAGUUGUUUGGGAAUGCAGCUCUAAAUGGGUGGUACAUUUCAUCUAAAGCUAAAUAUUGGCCAGAGACCGAUAGCGCACAAGUAGAGUGAUCGAAAGAUGAAAAGCACUUUGGAAAGAGAGUUAAACAGUACGUGAAAUUGUUGAAAGGGAAGCGCUUGCAACCAGACUUGCGCGCUGAUGAUCAUCCGGGCUUCUGCCCGGUGCACUCGUCUGCGCUCAGGCCAGCAUCGGUUUCGGUGGUGGGAUAAAGGCCUUGGGAAUGUAGCUCCUCUCGGGGAGUGUUAUAGCCCUCGGUGCAAUGCCGCCUACCGGGACCGAGGACCGCGCUUCGGCUAGGAUGCUGGCGUAAUGGUUGUAAGCGACCCGUCUUGAAACACGGACCAAGGAGUCUAACAUCUAUGCGAGUGUUUGGGUGUCAAACCCAUACGCGUAAUGAAAGUGAACGGAGGUGAGAACCCUUAAGGGCGCAUCAUCGACCGGUCCUGAUGUCUUCGGAUGGAUCUGAGUAAGAGCAUAGCUGUUGGGACCCGAAAGAUGGUGAACUAUGCGUGAAUAGGGUGAAGCCAGAGGAAACUCUGGUGGAGGCUCGCAGCGGUUCUGACGUGCAAAUCGAUCGUCAAAUUUGCGUAUAGGGGCGAAAGACUAAUCGAACCAUCUAGUAG
This 887-nucleotide ribosomal RNA is filed under the name Rhynchosporium secalis (leaf blotch of barley). RNAcentral's name for it is "partial large subunit ribosomal RNA". It matches the Rfam family "Eukaryotic large subunit ribosomal RNA", at positions 46 to 950 of the family's 3401-position model. Lineage: Eukaryota; Fungi; Ascomycota; Leotiomycetes; Helotiales; Ploettnerulaceae. The record is from RNAcentral.